UCAGCACUCACCCCAAUAUCUGACUCCGGGAUUUUAUUAUUAAGCCCAAUUAGAAUUUGUGCUACACUAACUUCCAAAUGUAUGUCUAUAAAAUAUGGGAGACAGAAAAGCAAAGCACAGUUACUCCUCCACUGCCCACUCCACGUUUCCUUUGUCCUCCUUCAGAACCUCAAUUGGUCAGUGCUCUCACCAUGACAACAUGAUUCCUCAACAGAGGGUACAGCAGUGUUUCAUUAUUCUUCAGUACCAGAACAGAAGUUCUACCGCAGCACAUCCCAGUGAGUCCCCAAUUACAAAGACCCCUUACUUCAGUACAGCAUCACCUCAAUUUCUCCUCAGUCACCAGGAGUAAGUAUCCUUAGGAGAGUAAUAGCUCUUCUACUUUUUGGUUCACUGACAUAAAGAGCAAGUACUGCCUUUAUCUUCCAACUCAACAGAACUGUUCUGUGACCGCUGGUGGAAAUAUUUAUUUCAAAUCCUCGCUCAUUUCCAAGUUGCUAGAAUAACAAGACGACAUUCUGGGUUCUGGCGUAUACUGAAGAGUAGCUGAGAUAUCUGGCCUCAUGGACUGAACAACUACUGGAUUCUUGGACCUUCCAGUUUGCAGGCAGCCACUGUUGGAUUAGCUGGACCAUUCUAAUAAAUCCCCUUUCUCUGAGAGAGAGGGGAGUGGUAGAGAUAUUGAUUGAUUCAUUCUAUAAGUUCCGUUCCUCUAGAGAAUCCUAAUACACCAAGUUUUACAAUAAAACUAAAGUAAGUA
Molecule: long non-coding RNA, 760 nt
Organism: Peromyscus leucopus (white-footed mouse)
Lineage: Eukaryota; Metazoa; Chordata; Mammalia; Rodentia; Cricetidae
Exons: 2
Source: RefSeq, a predicted model, not a curated record